RNAcentral lists this long non-coding RNA (351 nucleotides) under Ananas comosus (pineapple). RNAcentral describes it as "long non-coding RNA (ACOM_LNC036943)". The record is from RNAcentral. Lineage: Eukaryota; Viridiplantae; Streptophyta; Magnoliopsida; Poales; Bromeliaceae.
CAGCCAAGCAUUGCUAAUCAUAGAUACUAAGGGCUUGUUUGGUUCAUCCAUUUUGGAUAUGGAAUGAGAAUCGGUUUGAUCAAAUCCGGUUAAUUUUGUUUGGUUCGCAUGAAUCGGUUUGGGAUUCCUAUUCCGGACUGGAAUGGGAAUGGUCCAUUAGCCUUCAACUUGAUUCCGGUCUUCUAGCCCGGAUUGAGAUUUCAUUCCGGAAGCCCGCUAAGUUCUCGAAGCCCAUGUGACCAUCUCACCCUCCUUCUCUUCACCCCUUUCUCAUUAAAAAAAAAAAAAAACCAAUCCUCUCUAAAACCCUAUCCCUAACCCACAUCAAUAAAAAUUUUUAAAAAUAAAUUU